GUGGGGAAUAUUGGACAAUGGGCGAAAGCCUGAUCCAGCCAUGCCGCGUGUGUGAAGAAGGUCUUCGGAUUGUAAAGCACUUUAAGUUGGGAGGAAGGGUAGUAACCUAAUACGUUGCUACUUUGACGUUACCGACAGAAUAAGCACCGGCUAACUUCGUGCCAGCAGCCGCGGUAAUACGAAGGGUGCAAGCGUUAAUCGGAAUUACUGGGCGUAAAGCGCGCGUAGGUGGUUCAGUAAGUUGGAAGUGAAAUCCCCGGGCUCAACCUGGGAACUGCUUUCAAAACUGCUGAGCUAGAGUACGGUAGAGGGUGGUGGAAUUUCCUGUGUAGCGGUGAAAUGCGUAGAUAUAGGAAGGAACACCAGUGGCGAAGGCGACUACCUGGACUGAUACUGACACUGAGGUGCGAAAGCGUGGGGAGCAAACAGGAUUAGAAACCCCUGUAGUCC
This 450-nucleotide ribosomal RNA is filed under the name uncultured bacterium. Its description in RNAcentral is "bacterial SSU rRNA". It matches the Rfam family "Bacterial small subunit ribosomal RNA", at positions 354 to 796 of the family's 1533-position model. The record is from RNAcentral.